This 1708-nucleotide unclassified non-coding RNA is filed under the name Drosophila erecta. RNAcentral's name for it is "GG19989". Lineage: Eukaryota; Metazoa; Arthropoda; Insecta; Diptera; Drosophilidae. The record is from RNAcentral.
CAUACAAAGGAAAAGAAAAUCGAAACAGAAGACCAGGAAAAUAUGGUUCUCUCGUCUGUAGAAAAAUUGUUGAGCUAUCAAUUGUAAAUAUUACCUGUUUCCUAUUUCGCACCGAUUGAAAGUGGAUGUGCAGCGAAAGCGUGUGUUGUGUCGAAAACCGAGCGUGGAACGUACAGUGAAUACCUGAUUUUGCCUGGGUGUGAAUCGAAUUCGUGUGAGAGAGCGUGCGAUCUGAGAUCUGUGAUCAGAAAUCUAUAUCUACUUGCCAUACGCAGAGUCAGAAAUUCAAGCCAGCAUCUAAUCCCUAUUAAUAGACCUCCUAGGAGAUGGAUUUCGUUCAAGUGUCGGAGGAGGAGGGUGACGAGCCCAUCGAGCUGCCGGCUGAGGAGGAUGGCACUCUGCUGCUGUCCACCCUGCAGGCGCAAUUCCCUGGAUCUUGCGGUCUGAAGUAUCGCAACCUGGACACAAAGGCGGUGCGCGGAGUUCGCUCCAACGAGGGCAGACUGUUUCCGCCCAGCGUGGAAUCCGGUUGGGGGGAGUACUUGUACUUUUGUGUCUUUCCCAAGGAGAAUAAGCGCAAGAGCGACGAUAACUUGGAGAACUCAACAGCCAAGACCAAACGCAUUGAGACCCGUCUCCGCUGCACUGAUCUUAUCGUGCUCGGCUUGCCCUGGAAGACGACAGAGGAGAGUUUGCGUGAGUACUUCGAGACGUACGGCGAGGUGCUGAUGGCCCAAAUCAAGAAGGACACCAAGUCGGGUCAGUCCAAGGGCUUCGGGUUUGUGCGCUUUGGCUCUUAUGAUGCCCAAAUGCGCGUGCUCUCCAAUCGUCACCUCAUCGACGGUCGCUGGUGCGAAGUUAAGGUGCCCAACUCAAAGGGCAUGGGCCACCAGGUGCCUUGUAAGGUAUUCGUGGGUCGCUGCACCGAGGACAUAAACUCGGACGACCUGCGCGAGUAUUUCUCCAAAUUUGGCGAAGUCACCGACGUGUUCAUUCCGCGACCCUUCAGAGCUUUCAGCUUUGUAACCUUCCUCGAUCCAGACGUGGCACAGUCCCUGUGCGGAGAGGAUCAUAUAAUCAAGGGCGUUUCGGUCCAUGUGUCGAAUGCUGCCCCAAAGGCCGAGCAGAACAGAAACCAGCAGGCCCAGAGCUACAACUACAACUCGGCCAACAGCUUUGGCAUGCACUCAUACCACCCGCAGGGUAACCACAUGAAUCCCGGCCGCAACGGACACCACAGAGGGCGGCAAUUUUUUAUCCUGGAUGGCUCAGAACGGGGGCCACAACAACGCCAACUUUGGUGGACGGAAGGGACCGAAUAACCCGAACAAUCCGGGCGCCAACGGAAUGAAGACCGACAACUCAGGCUGCAAUGACCCACAGAACGGGAACAGCGGUUGGUCGAACCAGAGCAGCGGAUCUCAAAACUCCGUGGAGAAGUCAAACUUUCUUUAAGGCGGUGCCUGCUAGAUGAGUUGGUACCAUUUAAUGUGGUUAACGAUAACCAAAACCUCUGUAGCUUACUUAAAUAUAUAUGUAUUCCACAUAUAAACAAGUUAAGAAUUGUAUUUAAUAUAUACUAGAUAUUUUGAUAAUUGUAAGCAAGAUGACACUGGAUGGCUAAUAACACAAUUUAUAGAAUACACUUCGAAAUAAAUUCUGCGCCAAAGCUCAGUAUAAAGUUGCUCGAAUGGUGUACUUUAAGUAG